RNAcentral lists this ribosomal RNA (738 nucleotides) under uncultured bacterium. Its description in RNAcentral is "bacterial SSU rRNA". It matches the Rfam family "Bacterial small subunit ribosomal RNA", at positions 56 to 789 of the family's 1533-position model. The record is from RNAcentral.
UGCAAGUCGAGCGGUAGAGAGAAGCUUGCUUCUCUUGAGAGCGGCGGACGGGUGAGUAAUGCCUAGGAAUCUGCCUAGUGGUGGGGGAUAACGUUCGGAAACGGACGCUAAUACCGCAUACGUCCUACGGGAGAAAGCGGGGGAUCUUCGGACCUCGCGCCAUUAGAUGAGCCUAGGUCGGAUUAGCUAGUUGGUGAGGUAAUGGCUCACCAAGGCGACGAUCCGUAACUGGUCUGAGAGGAUGAUCAGUCACACUGGAACUGAGACACGGUCCAGACUCCUACGGGAGGCAGCAGUGGGGAAUAUUGGACAAUGGGCGAAAGCCUGAUCCAGCCAUGCCGCGUGUGUGAAGAAGGUCUUCGGAUUGUAAAGCACUUUAAGUUGGGAGGAAGGGCAGUAACCUAAUACGUUAUUGUUUUGACGUUACCGACAGAAUAAGCACCGGCUAACUUCGUGCCAGCAGCCGCGGUAAUACGAAGGGUGCAAGCGUUAAUCGGAAUUACUGGGCGUAAAGCGCGCGUAGGUGGUUCAGUAAGUUGGAAGUGAAAUCCCCGGGCUCAACCUGGGAACUGCUUUCAAAACUGCUGAGCUAGAGUACGGUAGAGGGUGGUGGAAUUUCCUGUGUAGCGGUGAAAUGCGUAGAUAUAGGAAGGAACACCAGUGGCGAAGGCGACCACCUGGACUGAUACUGACACUGAGGUGCGAAAGCGUGGGGAGCAAACAGGAUUAGAUACCCUG